Molecule: non-coding RNA, 82 nt
Organism: Candidatus Liberibacter africanus PTSAPSY
Lineage: Bacteria; Pseudomonadati; Pseudomonadota; Alphaproteobacteria; Hyphomicrobiales; Rhizobiaceae
Source: Rfam
GGAGGGAUGCCCGAGUGGUUAAAGGGGGCGGACUGUAAAUCCGUUGGUUUAUCCUACGUCGGUUCAAAUCCGACUCCCUCCA